Molecule: ribosomal RNA, 395 nt
Filed under: Olea europaea subsp. europaea
Lineage: Eukaryota; Viridiplantae; Streptophyta; Magnoliopsida; Lamiales; Oleaceae
Description: SSU_rRNA_bacteria
Rfam family: Eukaryotic small subunit ribosomal RNA
Source: RNAcentral
AUUAAGCCAUGCAUGUGUAAGUAUGAAUUAAUUCAGACCGUGAAACUAUGAAUGACUCAUUAAAUCCGUUAUAGUUUGUUUGAUGGUACCUGCUACUCGGAUAACCGUAGUAUUUCUAGAUCUAAUACGUGCAACAAAACUCGAUUUCUCGAAGGGAUGUAUUUAUUAGAUAAAAGGUCGAUGCGGGCUCCGCCUGUUACUGCGAUGAUUCAUGAUAACUCAAUGGAUUGCAUGGCCCUCGUGCCGGAGACGCAUCAUUCAAAUUUUCACCCUAUCAACUUUCAAUGGUGGGAUAGCAGCCUACUAUGGUAGUGAUGGGUGACGGAGAAUUAGGGUUUGAUUUUGGCGAGGGAGCCUGAAAAAUGGCUAUCACAUCCAAGGAAGGCAGCAGGUGU